Molecule: long non-coding RNA, 609 nt
Organism: Antechinus flavipes (yellow-footed antechinus)
Lineage: Eukaryota; Metazoa; Chordata; Mammalia; Dasyuromorphia; Dasyuridae
Exons: 2
Source: RefSeq, a predicted model, not a curated record
GUGAUCCGGGAACCGAGGAAAUAAAAGCCGACGCGGCUUCCGUUUCUCCUCCCUCCGCUUGCCAAGGUCCCGGCUGUUGGGUUUCUUUAAUGACGUUGUGAAGUGAAUAGUGCGGAUUUUCCGGCAUCGGCGGCAGCUGCAGAGACUGGGGCCGGGAGCCGAGGAUGUGGGGGCGCGGCAGCAGACAGCGUGUAGUGGUGGCGGUGGCGUAGUGAUGAGAACAACGAACAAUUCCCCAAAAGGAAGAGGACCUUGUUAUCGCCUGAAAUCCAAAAUCGGGUAGAAUCUCUAACAUUCAGAGUAGGAGAAAAGGGUACUUUCUCCUUGCAGAGCAACUGGAGGGCUUAGCUGGUGCUUUGGAAGCUGAUCUUCCCGACCCCGAGAGCGAGAUUCUAAGAAUCCUUUGUACCGUGGCUCCUCUGCUUCCUUUGAAAUUGACGCUGUAUACAACCUCGCACUGCUUAAUGCCUGAAAUCGCAACUUCGGCGGGGAAGCUGUGGGAGCCAUGGAAGCCGUGUUCCGGCAGCUUCAGACCUAAUCAGUUGGAAAAAUAUCAUGUGUUCCUGGGUAGGCCAAGCGAAUAGAAUAAAAAUGACAAUACUACCUAAA